GGCGACGUAGCCAAGUGGCUAAGGCAGUUGUCUGCAAAACAACUAUUCAGCGGUUCAAUUCCGCUCGUCGCCUCCA
This 76-nucleotide transfer RNA is filed under the name Candidatus Omnitrophota bacterium. RNAcentral describes it as "tRNA-Cys". It matches the Rfam family "tRNA". Rfam says of the family: Transfer RNA (tRNA) molecules are approximately 80 nucleotides in length. Their secondary structure includes four short double-helical elements and three loops (D, anti-codon, and T loops). The record is from RNAcentral. Lineage: Bacteria; Pseudomonadati; Candidatus Omnitrophota.